UUAACGGUAACGUUAAGUCUGAAGGAAGCUGAUAGUAAAAUGCAUGUUCAAAGAACAGGAAGCGGAUAUGAGCAGUCUAGACGGGUGUGGGGGCCGUGAUACCCAACCGAUAUUAGUUGAAGCGUUGCUAUCGAGUCUUCGAGU
Molecule: non-coding RNA, 144 nt
Organism: Burkholderiales bacterium YL45
Lineage: Bacteria; Pseudomonadati; Pseudomonadota; Betaproteobacteria; Burkholderiales
Source: Rfam